UACGUAGGGGGCGAGCGUUGUCCGGAUUUAUUGGGCGUAAAGAGCGUGUAGGCGGCCAGGUAGGUCAGCUGUGAAAACUCGAGGCUCAACCUCGAGAUGUCGGCUGAAACCAUCUGGCUAGAGUCCGGAAGAGGAGAAUGGAAUUCCACGUGUAGCAGUGAAAUGCGUAGAUAUGUGGAGGAACACCGAUGGCGAAGGCAGCCCCCUGGGUCAAAACUGACGCUCAUGCACGAAAGCGUGGGGAGCAAACAGG
This 253-nucleotide ribosomal RNA is filed under the name uncultured bacterium. RNAcentral's name for it is "partial 16S ribosomal RNA". It matches the Rfam family "Bacterial small subunit ribosomal RNA", at positions 524 to 776 of the family's 1533-position model. The record is from RNAcentral.